AGAGAGAGACAUGCGCGCAUAUCAAUAAGCGGAGGAAAAGAAACUAACUAGGAUUCCCUCAGUAACGGCGAGUGAAGCGGGAAGAGCUCAAAUUUGAAAUCUUCAAGGUUCUACCUUGACGAAUUGUAGUUUAAAGAAGUGUUUUCUGUUGGAGUUUUGGUAAAAGUUCUUUGGAAUAGGACAUCAUAGAGGGUGAGAAUCCCGUAUUUGACCAUUAUUUUCCAGCUGUGUGAUACACUUUCAAAGAGUCGGAUUGUUUGGGAAUGCAGUCCAAAAUGGGUGGUAAAUUUCAUCUAAAGCUAAAUACUGGCGAGAGACCGAUAGCGAACAAGUACCGUGAGGGAAAGAUGAAAAGAACUUUGAAAAGAGAGUUAAACAGUACGUGAAAUUGUCAAAAGGGAAGCGUUUGACACCAGUGUUGUUUUCUCGAAAAUCAAUUAAAAAAGGCAGGAUUUUGUGUUGUAUUGACUUUAUCAGCUUUCUGCACUCUUUUCUUGUCUUUUUUAAUGCACUUUUCGUUUAACAAGUCAACAUCAAUUUCUUUUGUUGUAAAAGGGUCAUUGGAAGGUGGCUUUCUUUUCGGAGAAAGUGUUUAUAGCCUUUGGCCUCUGCAAUUGGAGAGAUUGAGGUCUGCAGCGUAGAUCCUUCGGGGUUAGAUACAUUUGUGCUAAGUUAUAGCCUUUCAUAGACAACUUGUUGACUAUGAUCAGUCAUGUAGCUUACUCGCUUAUGCUAUUUUACCUACGCUUAGGAUGUUGAUGUGAUACUGCGAGCA
Molecule: ribosomal RNA, 775 nt
Filed under: uncultured Neocallimastigales
Lineage: Eukaryota; Fungi; Neocallimastigomycota; Neocallimastigomycetes; Neocallimastigales
Description: partial large subunit ribosomal RNA
Rfam family: Eukaryotic large subunit ribosomal RNA
Source: RNAcentral